GCAGACUCACUCUGUUCUUUGCUGCCUACUCCAGCCUGGAACUUUUUCUGUCUGCUACAUAAACAUGCAGGAUGGAACAAUGCUAGCUCUGCUACAAGGGC
Fundulus heteroclitus (mummichog) is the source of this 101-nucleotide small nucleolar RNA. Ensembl annotates it as small nucleolar RNA, H/ACA box 77B. The record is from Ensembl. Lineage: Eukaryota; Metazoa; Chordata; Actinopteri; Cyprinodontiformes; Fundulidae.